UACGUAGGGACCAAGCGUUGUCCGGAAUCACUGGGCGUAAAGAGCGUGUAGGCGGUUAGACAAGUCCGUUGUGAAAACCCAGGGCUCAACCCUGGGAGGUCAAGGGAUACUGUCUAACUAGAGUCCGGAAGAGGCGAGUGGAACUCCUGGUGUAGCGGUGAAAUGCGCAGAUAUCAGGAAGAACACCGAUAGCGAAGGCAGCUCGCUGGUACGGAACUGACGCUGAGACGCGAAAGCGUGGGGAGCAAACAGG
This 253-nucleotide ribosomal RNA is filed under the name uncultured bacterium. Its description in RNAcentral is "partial 16S ribosomal RNA". It matches the Rfam family "Bacterial small subunit ribosomal RNA", at positions 524 to 776 of the family's 1533-position model. The record is from RNAcentral.